UUUCCGUAGGUGAACCUGCGGAAGGAUCAUUACUGAGUGAGGGCCCCUCGGGGUCCAACCUCCCACCCGUGUUUAACGAACCUUGUCGCUUCGGCGGGCCCGCCUCACGGCCGCCGGGGGGCAUCUGCCCCCGGGCCCGCGCCCGCCGAAGCUACCUGUGAACGCUGUCUGAAGUAUGCAGUCUGAGACAAUUAUUAAAUUAAUUAAAACUUUCAACAACGGAUCUCUUGGUUCCG
Molecule: unclassified non-coding RNA, 236 nt
Filed under: plant metagenome
Description: partial contains small subunit ribosomal RNA, internal transcribed spacer 1, and 5.8S ribosomal RNA
Source: RNAcentral